GGCCUAUUUUUGGCAAACGGAGGCCGCCCGCCAAGUCUGGGGCCAUUCCGACUCCCGCGGACGAACUUCGAACACGCCCCACACCAAGGCUAUAGCCCACCCGUUUUUUGGCCAUUUUUCCGCUGGGGGGUCUUGGGACCCCGACCUUCGGGGGCUGAUUUUUGGGCGCGGCCGUGCCCGUGGCCUAUUUUUGGCACACGGAGGCCGCCCGCCAAGUCUGGGGCCAUUCCGAGUCCGGCGGACGAACUUCGCCCACGCCCCCCACCAAGGCUAUAGCCCACCCGUUUUUUGGCCAUUUUUCCGCUGGGGGGUCUUGGGACCCCGACCUUCGGGGGCUGAUUUUUGGGCGCGGCUGUGCCCGUGGCCUAUUUUUGGGUCACGUAGGCCGCCCGCCAAGUAUGGUGCCAUUCCGAGUCCCGCGGAUGAACUUCGCCCACGCCCCCCGCCAAGGCUAUAGGCCACCCGAUUUUUGGCCAUUUUUCCGCUGGGAGGUCUUGGGACCCGGACCUUCGGGGGCUGCUUUUUGGGCGCGGCUGUGCCCAUGGCCUAUUUUUGGCACACGGAGGCCGCCCGCAAAGUCUGGGGCCAUUCCGAGUCCGGCGGACGAACGUCGCCCACGCCCCCCACCAAGGCUAUAGCCCACCCUUUUUUUGGCCAUUGUUCCGCUGGGGGGUCUUGGGACCCCGACCUUCGGGGGCUGAUUUUUGGGCGCGGCUGUGCCCGUGGCCUAUUUUUGGCACACGGAGGCCGCCCGCCAAGUCUGGGGCCAUUCCGAGUCCCGCGGACGAACGUCGCCCACGCCCCCCACCAAGGCUAUAGCCCACCAAUUUUUUGGCCAUUUUUCCGCUGGGGGGUCUUGGGACCCCGACCUUCGGGGGCUGAUUUUUGGGCGCGGCUGUGCCCCUGGCCUAUUUUUGGCANNNNNNNNNNNNNNNNNNNNNNNNNNNNNNNNNNNNNNNNNNNNNNNNNNNNNNNNNNNNNNNNNNNNNNNNNNNNNNNNNNNNNNNNNNNNNNNNNNNNNNNNCCGCUGGGGGGUCUUGGGAGCCCGACCUUCGGGGGCUGAUUUUUGGGCGCGGCUGUGCCCGUGGCCUAUUUUUGGCACUCGGAGGCCGCCCGCCAAGCCUGGGGCCAUUCCGAGUCCCGCUGACGAACUUCGCCCACGCCCCCCACAUAGGCUUUAGCCCACCCUUUUUUUGGCCAUUUUUCCGCUGGGGGUUCUUGGGACCCCGACCUUCGGGGGCUGAUUUUUGGGCGCGGCUGUGCCCGUGGCCUAUUUUUGGCACACGGAGGCCACCCGCCAAGUCUGGGGCCAUUCCGAGUCCCGCGGACGAACGUCGCCCACGCCCCCCACCAAGGCUAUAGCCCACCCUUUUUUUUGCCAUUUUUCCGCUGGGGGGUCUUGGGACCCCGACCUUCGGGGGCUGAUUUUUGGGCGCGGCUGUGCCCGUGGCCUAUUUUUGGCACACGGAGGCCGCCCGAAAAGUCUGGGGCCAUUCCGAGUCCGGCGGACGAACUUCGCCCGCACCCCCACCAAGGCUAUAGCCCACCCGUUUUUUGGCCAUUUUUCCGCUGGGGGGUGUUGGCACCCCGACCUUCGGGGGCUGAUUUUUGGGCGCGGCUGUGCCCGUGGCCUAUUUUUGGCACACGGAGGCCGCCCGCAAAGUCUGGGGCCAUUCCGAGUCCGGCGGACGAACUUCGCCCACGCCCCCCACCAAGGCUAUAGCCCACCGAUUUUUUGGCCAUUUUUCCGCUGGGGGGUCUUGGCACCCCGACCUUCGGGGGCUGAUUUUUGGGCGCGGCUGUACCCGUGGCCUAUUUUUGGCACACGGAGGCCGCCCGCCAAGUCUGGGGCCAUUCCGAGUCCCGCGGACGAACGUCGCCCACGCCCCCCACCAAGGCUAUAGCCCACCAAUUUUUUGGCCAUUUUUCCGCUGGGGGGUCUUGGCACCCCGAACUUCGGGGGCUGAUUUUUGGGCGCGGCUGUGCCCAUGGCCUAUUUUUGGCACACGGAGGCCGCCCGCCAAGUAUGGUGCCAUUCCGAGUCCCGCGGACGAACUUCGCCCACGCCCCCCGCCAAGGCUAUAGCCCACCCGAUUUUUGGCCAUUUUUCCGCUGGGAGGUCUUGGGACCCCGACCUUCGGGGGCUGAUUUUUGGGCGCGGCUGUACCCGUGGCCUAUUUUUGGCACACGGAGGCCGCCCGCCAAGUCUGGGGCCAUUCCGAGUCCCGCGGACGAACGUCUCCCACGCCCCCCACCAAGGCUAUAGCCCACCCUUUUUUUGGCCAUUUUUCCGCUGGGGGGUCUUGGGACCCCGACCUUCGGGGGCUGAUUUUUGGGUGCGGCUGUGCCCGUGGCCUAUUUGUGGCACACGGAGGCCGCCCGCAAAGUCUGGGGCCAUUCCGAGUCCGGCGGACGAACUUCGCCCGCGCCCCCCACCAAGGCUAUAGCCCACCCGUUUUUUGGCCAUUUUUCCUCUGGGAGGUCAUGGGACCCCGACCUUCGGGGGCUGAUUUUUGGGCGCGGCUGUGCCCGUGGCCUAUUUUUGGCACACAGAGGCCGCCCGAAAAGUCUGGGGCCAUUCCGAGUCCGGCGGACGAACUUCGCCCGCACCCCCACCAAGGCUAUAGCCCACCAGUUUUUUGGCCAUUUUUCCGCUGGGGGGUGUUGGCACCCCGACCUUCGGGGGCUGAUUUUUGGGCGCGGCUGUGCCCGUGGCCUAUUUUUGGCACACGGAGGCCGCCCGCAAAGUCUGGGGCCAUUCCGAGUCCGGCGGACGAACUUCGCCCACGCCCCCCACCAAGACUAUAGCCCACCCGUUUUUUGGCCAUUUUUCCGCUGGGAGGUCUUGGGACCCCGACCUUCGGGGGCUGAUUUUUGGGCGCGGCUGUGCCCGUGUCCUAUUUUUGGCACACGGAGGCCACCCGCCAAGUCUGGGGCCAUUCCGAGUCCCGCGGACGAACGUCGCCCCCGCCCCCCACCAAGGCUAUUGCCCACCCUUUUUUUGGCCAUUUUUCCGCUGGGGGGUCUUGGGACCCCGACCUUCGGGGGCUGAUUUUUGGGCGCGGCUGUGCCCGUGGCCUAUUUUUGGCACACGGAGGCCGCCCGCCAAGUAUGGUGCCAUUCCGAGUCCCGCGGACGAACUUCGCCCACGCCCCCCACCAAGGCUAUAGCCCACCCGUUUUUUGGCCAUUUUUCCGCUGGGGGGUCUUGGGACCCCGACCUUCGGGGGCUGAUUUUUGGGCGCGGCUGUGCCCGUGGCCUAUUUUUGGCACACGGAGGCCGCCCGCGAGGUAUGGUGUCAUUCCGAGUCCCGCGGACGAACUUCGCCCACGCCCCCCGCCAAGGCUAUAGCCCACCCGAUUUUUGGCCAUUUUUCCGCUGGGAGGUCUUGGGACCCCGACCUUCGGGGGCUGAUUUUUGGGCGCGGCUGUACUCGUGGCCUAUUUUUGGCACACGGAGGCCGCCCGCCAAGUCUGGGGCCAUUCCGAGUCCCGCGGACGAACGUCGCCCACGCCCCCCACCAAGGCUAUAGCGCACCAAUUUUUUGGCCAUUUUUCCGCUGGGGGGUCUUGGCACCCCGACCUUCGGGGGCUGAUUUUUGGGCGCGGCUGUGCCCGUGGCCUAUUUUUGGCACACGGAGGCCGCCCGCAAAGUCUGGGGCCAUUCCGAGUCCGGCGUACGAACUUCGCCCGCGCCCCCCACCAAGGCUAUAGCCCACCCGUUUUUUGGCCAUUUUUCCGCUGGGGGGUGUUGGCACCCCGACCUUCGGGGGCUGAUUUUUGGGCGCGGCUGUGCCCGUGGCCUAUUUUUGGCACACGGAGGCCGCCCGCAAAGUCUGGGGCCAUU
This 3846-nucleotide long non-coding RNA is filed under the name Citrus x clementina. Its description in RNAcentral is "Citrus clementina (C. clementina) long non-coding RNA (CCLE_LNC006167)". Lineage: Eukaryota; Viridiplantae; Streptophyta; Magnoliopsida; Sapindales; Rutaceae. The record is from RNAcentral.